UACGAAGGGGGCUAGCGUUGCUCGGAAUUAUUGGGCGUAAAGCGCACGUAGGCGGCUCUAUAAGUCGGAUGUGAAAUCCCUCGGCUUAACCAAGGAAGUGCAUCCGAAACUGUGGAGCUUGAGUACUUAAGAGGAUCGCGGAAUUCCCGGUGUAGAGGUGAAAUUCGUAGAUAUCGGGAGGAACACCAGUGGCGAAGGCGGCGAUCUGGGAAGAUACUGACGCUGAGGUGCGAAAGCGUGGGGAGCAAACAGG
RNAcentral lists this ribosomal RNA (253 nucleotides) under uncultured bacterium. Its description in RNAcentral is "partial 16S ribosomal RNA". It matches the Rfam family "Bacterial small subunit ribosomal RNA", at positions 524 to 776 of the family's 1533-position model. The record is from RNAcentral.